UGCAGAAUCCCGUGAACCAUCGAGUUUUUGAACGCAAGUUGCGCCUGAGGCCAGCUGGCCAAGGGCACGUCCGCCUGGGCGUCAAGCAUUGAAUCGCUCCACAAUACCAAUGAUGUUAUGCAUUGGUCUUGUCCAGGAUGCGGAGAAUGGCCCGUCAUGCGCUUAUGUGUGGCAGGCUGAAGAGCGGGGAUGAUUUUCUUUUGCAACGAUCGAUUAAUAGGUGGGAUGAAAUUCUUUUUGUUCCUAAUCAUCGUCAGGUUGCUUUAAGAAAGUUGUGCAUAUCUCAUUUUAACCCAACUCAAUCGUUAUUGGAUGAAAAUUGACAUGCGACCCCAGGAUGGGCGGGGUGACCCGCUGAGUUUAAGCAUAUCAAUAAGCGGAGGAGAAGAAACUUACGAGGAUUCCCCUAGUAACGGCGAGCGAACCGGGAAUUGCCCAGCAUGGGAAUCGGGUUGCUAUGCGACUCGA
This 468-nucleotide ribosomal RNA is filed under the name Platanthera chlorantha. RNAcentral's name for it is "eukaryotic LSU rRNA". The stretch from base 328 to 468 matches the Rfam family "Eukaryotic large subunit ribosomal RNA", at positions 1 to 141 of the family's 3401-position model. Lineage: Eukaryota; Viridiplantae; Streptophyta; Magnoliopsida; Asparagales; Orchidaceae. The record is from RNAcentral.